Molecule: long non-coding RNA, 477 nt
Organism: Mirounga angustirostris (Northern elephant seal)
Lineage: Eukaryota; Metazoa; Chordata; Mammalia; Carnivora; Phocidae
Exons: 3
Source: RefSeq, a predicted model, not a curated record
CCAGGUGACACCACUCAGACUCUGAGGAACGUGCUGAAUCUCCCUCUUCCGGCACAGAGCUGUUCACACUCUUAACUUCAAUCAAAAUCUGCCUCCUCCCCCUGCAGUGUAACUCACUCCCAGUGCUCCUCCUGCCUGCACCUUCAAGGACGCAUGUUACAGGUGAAGAGUUCUCAGGUCCUGCUGGAGGAAGGUGGUUUUGGAGGUGGAAAGGGUUCAAGAUGGUGGAGAGGAGAGGACGACGGAAGCUCAGACAGAGCAGGAAACUUGCCCCAGUUGACAAAGGAUGUGCGAUACGAUUCGGAACCAGGGUUCAGUAUGCUGCCUCCUUUGUGGCUGCAAGAACUGGGAUGGUAGAAGGAACUCACCGUUUACUAAGCUCCUGCUGUGCGCGUGUGAAAGUUCCUAUGCAUUGCCUCAUUUAGUACAACUGCUUUGGGAGUAUGCUAUCAACGCCCCCAUUUAACAGAUGAAGAA